RNAcentral lists this ribosomal RNA (405 nucleotides) under uncultured bacterium. Its description in RNAcentral is "bacterial SSU rRNA". It matches the Rfam family "Bacterial small subunit ribosomal RNA", at positions 355 to 776 of the family's 1533-position model. The record is from RNAcentral.
UGGGGGAUAUUGCACAAUGGGGGAAACCCUGAUGCAGCAACGCCGCGUGGGUGAAGAAGUAUUUCGGUAUGUAAAGCCCUAUCAGCAGGGAAGAAGAAGGACGGUACCUGACUAAGAAGCCCCGGCUAACUACGUGCCAGCAGCCGCGGUAAUACGUAGGGGGCAAGCGUUAUCCGGAUUUACUGGGUGUAAAGGGAGCGUAGACGGCUUGAUAAGUCUGAAGUGAAAGGCCAAGGCUUAACCAUGGAACUGCUUUGGAAACUAUGAAGCUAGAGUGCUGGAGAGGUAAGCGGAAUUCCUAGUGUAGCGGUGAAAUGCGUAGAUAUUAGGAGGAACACCAGUGGCGAAGGCGGCUUACUGGACAGAAACUGACGUUGAGGCUCGAAAGCGUGGGGAGCAAACAGG